ACGACCGUGGCAGGGAAUGGCCGCGGGAUGACGUGAAUCCCGGAAUAAGCCCCGGCUAACUACGUGCCAGCAGCCGCGGUAACACGUAGGGGGCGAGCGUUGUUCGGAAUCAUUGGGCGUAAAGGGCGUGCAGGCGGUCCUGCAAGUCCGGCGUGAAAGACCCCGGCCCAACCGGGGGGGCGCGCUGGAAACUGCAGGGCUUGAGUACAGGAGGGGAUGCCGGAAUUCCAGGUGUAGGGGUGAAAUCUGUAAAUAUCUGGAGGAACACCAAUGGCGAAGGCAGGCAUCUGGCCAUGUACUGACGCUGAGACGCGAAGGUGCGGGGAGCAAACAGGUUUAGAUACCCUGGUAGUCCGCACAGUAAACGAUGUGCACCAGGUGGCGGGGGGUCGACCCCCGGUACCGUAGCCAACGCAUUAAGUGCACCGCCUGGGGAGUAUGCUC
RNAcentral lists this ribosomal RNA (444 nucleotides) under uncultured bacterium. RNAcentral's name for it is "bacterial SSU rRNA". It matches the Rfam family "Bacterial small subunit ribosomal RNA", at positions 449 to 887 of the family's 1533-position model. The record is from RNAcentral.